AGUGAACGCUGGCGGCAGGCCUAAUACAUGCAAGUCGAACGGAAGCACAGUAAGCUCUUUCCCCUACGGUUGGCGGCUGGCGGAUGGGUAACGCAUACAUCACCAUCUUCUAUUUCUUGGGUGAUUACGUAGGGCCACUGCUACUACUACCUCAUACUUUCUACCGCUUGAAUCAGAAGUUAUUGACGCUUUUGCUGUCUCAUUUAGCCGGCGCCGGAUUAGCUAGUUGGGAAGGUAACGGCUCACCAAGGCAACGAUGCGUAGCCGACCUGAGAGGAUGAUCGGCCACACUGGAACUGAGACACGGUCCAGACUCCUACGGGAGGCAGCAGUAGGGAAUCUUCGGCAAUGGGCGAAAGCCUGACGGAGCAACGCCGCGUGAGUGAUGAAGGUCUUCGGAUCGUAAAACUCUGUUAUUAGGGAAGAACAGAUGUGUAAUUAACUGUGGAUAUCCUGACGGUACCUAAACAGAAAGCAACGGCUAACUACGUG
This 492-nucleotide ribosomal RNA is filed under the name uncultured bacterium. Its description in RNAcentral is "partial 16S ribosomal RNA". It matches the Rfam family "Bacterial small subunit ribosomal RNA", at positions 29 to 507 of the family's 1533-position model. The record is from RNAcentral.